GACGAACGCUGGCGGCGUGCUUAACACAUGCAAGUCGAACGGAAAGGCCCUGCUUUUGUGGGGUGCUCGAGUGGCGAACGGGUGAGUAACACGUGAGUAACCUGCCCUUGACUUUGGGAUAACUUCAGGAAACUGGGGCUAAUACCGGAUAGGAGCUCCUGCUGCAUGGUGGGGGUUGGAAAGUUUCGGCGGUUGGGGAUGGACUCGCGGCUUAUCAGCUUGUUGGUGGGGUAGUGGCUUACCAAGGCUUUGACGGGUAGCCGGCCUGAGAGGGUGACCGGCCACAUUGGGACUGAGAUACGGCCCGGACUCCUACGGGAGGCAGCAGUGGGGAAUAUUGCACAAUGGGCGGAAGCCUGAUGCAGCAACGCCGCGUGCGGGAUGACGGCCUUCGGGUUGUAAACCGCUUUCGCCUGUGACGAAGCGUGAGUGACGGUAAUGGGUAAAGAAGCACCUGCUAACUACGUG
Molecule: ribosomal RNA, 468 nt
Filed under: uncultured bacterium
Lineage: Bacteria
Description: partial 16S ribosomal RNA
Rfam family: Bacterial small subunit ribosomal RNA
Source: RNAcentral